CCUACGGGAGACUGCAGUGAGGAAUAUUGGUCAAUGGACGAGAGUCUGAACCAGCCAAGUAGCGUGAAGGAUGACUGCCCUAUGGGUUGUAAACUUCUUUUAUAUGGGAAUAAAAUGUUCCACGUGUGGGAUUUUGUAUGUACCAUAUGAAUAAGGAUCGGCUAACUCCGUGCCAGCAGCCGCGGUAAUACGGAGGAUCCGAGCGUUAUCCGGAUUUAUUGGGUUUAAAGGGAGCGUAGGUGGAUUGUUAAGUCAGUUGUGAAAGUUUGCGGCUCAACCGUAAAAUUGCAGUUGAAACUGGCAGUCUUGAGUACAGUAGAGGUGGGCGGAAUUCGUGGUGUAGCGGUGAAAUGCUUAGAGAUCACGAAGAACUCCGAUUGCGAAGGCAGUUCACUGGACUGCAACUGACACUGAGGCUCGAAAGUGUGGGUAUCAAACAGGAUUAGAUACCCGAGUAGUC
RNAcentral lists this ribosomal RNA (460 nucleotides) under uncultured bacterium. RNAcentral's name for it is "partial 16S ribosomal RNA". It matches the Rfam family "Bacterial small subunit ribosomal RNA", at positions 338 to 795 of the family's 1533-position model. The record is from RNAcentral.